UUAAUUGUACAUUAGCCACAGGGUCUGCUAGAUGACUCUGCUUUUCCGAGGAAAACUUUUUCAAGAUUUUUUUUUUUUUCUAGGAGACCGAAAAGAGGGAAACAUCAAUGACUAUUUCCUUUGUAAAUAUCCAUGUCGGAAUAGAGAAAUCACAUAGAGUGGCUUUUUAUCCAAAACAGUUUUGUGGUAUUCUACAGUCAGGUCACAACUAGAAUGAACGUUGUCAACGCCGUUAUAUGAGGCAGAAUCGGAGUGAGGAAGGCAACUCCCGUGAUCUGGUAGACACAGAGGGGUGCCGCCCAGAUCCCCCUUCAAGGAGACUUCCAGAGACUCUAACCUGCGGCCAUCGGUGCUGGGCGUGGUCCCAGAAAGCAGGCAACAAAGUGAGGGUUUGAAAGUGGGUCACACACCACCAGGCUGGCCGUGAGGCCCCCAUCGCUGGUGGUCGUUGGCCACCCGAGAACUGGCAUGAUGGGCACAUGAAUGGAGAGGCCACCAUGACAGAGAUGGAGGCUGAGAAUAUCUCCAAGGGCACAUAAAGGCAGUUCUUGC
Long non-coding RNA from Neofelis nebulosa (Clouded leopard), 552 nucleotides. RefSeq lists it as uncharacterized. The record is from RefSeq and is a predicted model, not a curated record. Lineage: Eukaryota; Metazoa; Chordata; Mammalia; Carnivora; Felidae. The transcript has 4 exons.